This 1391-nucleotide long non-coding RNA is filed under the name Homo sapiens (human). RNAcentral describes it as "HSALNT0019478". The record is from RNAcentral. Lineage: Eukaryota; Metazoa; Chordata; Mammalia; Primates; Hominidae.
GGAAGAGGUUAGGAUUUGAAUCAAUGGUCUGAGUAAAGAUCACCCUCACCAAUGGGGACGGGCAUCAUCAAAUCCUUUGAGGGCCCAUAUGGAACAUAAAGGUGAAGGGAGAUUUAAUUUUCUCUCCCUGUUUAAGCUAAGACAUCCAUCUUCUCCUGCCCUAGGUUAUCCUUGCUCCUGGUGCUCUAACCUUGAGACUUUGACUGGGACUUGCAACACUGGCUUCAUGGUUCUCAGGCCUUCAGGUUUGCACUGAAACUACGUCGCUGGUUUCCUUGGGCCUCCAGCUUGCAGACUCAAAUUAUAGGGGAACUUAUUUGCCUUCUUAAUCAUGCUAUGAAAAUGAUGUUAGACAAAAAGCAAAUUUGAGAAAUGUUCUGAUUCAAGUUCAAAAUGGGUCGUAAAGCAGCAGAGACAACUCUCAACAUCGACAAUGCAUUUGACUCAGGAACUGCUAACACAUGUCCAGUGCGGUGGUGGUUCAAGAAGUUUUGCACAGGAGACAAGAGCCUUAAAGAUGAGGAGCACAGUGGCUGGCCAUUAGAAGUUGACAAUGACCAGUUGAGAGCAAUCAUCGAAGCUGAUCCUCUUACAACUACACAAGAAGUUGCCGAAGGACUUAACAUAGACCAUUCUAUAGUCAUUCGGCAUUUGAAGUGAAUUGGAAAGGUUAAAAUCUCGAAAAGUGGGUACCUCAUGAGCUGGGCAAAAAUUUUAAAAAUCAUCGUUUUGAAGUGUCAUUUUCUCUUAUUCUACAGAAAAUCAAUAAACUAUUUCUUAAUUGGAUUGUGAUGUGUGGAGAAAAGUGGAUUUUAUACAACUACCAGCAAUGACUGGCUUAGUAGUUGGGCCAAGAAGAAACAUCAAAGCAUUUCCCAAAGACAAGUUUGCAUACACACACACACAAAAGUUCAUGGUCACUGUUUGGUGGUCUGCUGCAGGUCUGAUCCAUUACAGCUUUCUGAAUCUCAUCAAAACCAUUACAUCUGAGAAGUAUGCUCAGCAAUCUAUGAGAUGCAACAAAAACUGCAACCCCUGUAGCCGGCAUUUGUCAACAGAAAGAGCUCAAUUCUUCACAACAAUGGCCAUCACACAACCAACACUUCAGAAGUUGAGUGAAUUGAAUUCAAAAGUUGUUGAAUGAAUUCAUUCAAAAGUUGAAUGAAUCCAUUCAAAAGUUGAAUGAAUUGGGCUAUGAAGUUUUGUCUCAUCCACCAUAUUCACCUUACCUCUCACCAACCACCACUUCGUCAAACAUCUCAACAACUUUUUGCAGGGAAAAUGUUUCCACAACCAGCAGGAUGCAGAAAAUGCUUUCCAAGAAUUCUUCAAAUCCCAAAGCAUGAAUUUCUAUGCUACAGGAAUAAACAAACUUAUUUCUCAUUGGCAAA